CCCCGGUGUCAAGCCCCCCAGGUUUAACCUUUCUGGUUUGUUUUUGUUCACGUCGCGCGCACACGGUUUUGUAAUCAUGGUUAUAUUCCUGGAUCUUGUCAGAAAUGUAGCCAGACCAGAAGACAGUGUGAAUAAUUCCAGCAUCUCUGCCGGAACCUGCGCGUGCUGGCAGAAAUAUACAGGUUCCAGCAGAUAAACCAGCCCUGGACGGCAGUCCCCCACCAGCUGGUUCCAGCUCAGACCCGACAAGGCUCGCCCUGAAGCCAUCUCAUAAAGGAAACAUGAACAACCCUGCAUCACAGCCAGCAGAGUCCAGUUUCUCCGUCAGCUCCAGUUUGACAUGAAUUCAGCUUUCUGCCGGCUCGGCUCUCCUCUGCAGGCCACACCUGUGAGGAGUUCCUGUAGGACCGUAAACAGCUGAGGGCGACCCCACCUCCUCCAGGCCCCCUUCCUGCUCUUCUAUCUGCCCAUAACCACAGACGAGACAGAGGUAACAGCUGAGAUAUUAAAGCUUUUCAGGGGUUUCUGUAAAGUUUUGAGGGAUGUAAACAGUGAAUGUGAACCGAUGAUCCUAAACAUGCAGGAAACAGAAUGAAAAAUUCCAGAUCAAAUUCAAACUAUAAAAUCUUUUUAUUAUUUAGGAAACUUGUGUCAGUUUUCAGGACUGGGUGGAGGUCUUCAUCCACGUCUGGUUUCUUCUUUAGCUUCCAAGCAGCCAGACUUUUUGUAAGGGUUUCUUGAACUUUAGUUCUCCAGGUUUUCUAAUUCUACAGAUUCAUGUCUUUGCAUUAGCAUGUUCAUUUUGUGUUAAUGUGAUUUUAUACUGCUGUAAAAUGAAUUAACACAGAGUAAUCCUGUGUCAAGAAGUCUCUGUCUAACAGGAACCCGACAAACAGCAGACGUGACUCAGAUUUGAUUUUUAUUUGCCGUUUCUGACAGCUUACAGUUCAGUCUUUCAGUUGAUCUGGUAAAUCAUCUCGCUUACAAAGUGGAAUGAAAAUAAAUACACAUAAAAAAUAAAAACCAAAGCUUCCAAAUGUGGAAGAACAUGAUCAAGAA
This is a long non-coding RNA of Melanotaenia boesemani (Boeseman's rainbowfish), 1059 nucleotides long. RefSeq lists it as uncharacterized. The transcript has 2 exons. Lineage: Eukaryota; Metazoa; Chordata; Actinopteri; Atheriniformes; Melanotaeniidae. The record is from RefSeq and is a predicted model, not a curated record.